AAUUUUCGAGUGGAAAAUUUUUUUGAAAUUUUUUUCUGAUUUUUUAUUCUUUUUUUAAUUUAAAGCACUAUUUAAGUGAAAAGAAACUUAUUGCAACAAAUUCCCAUCAAAAUAUAUCACAUUUAAAAUUUUUGCUACAUGGCUCAAAAAUGAGGAAAAUUUUACAUUUUCUCAAACAGGGUAAGGAACUUGGUUCCUCGAAUAACUUCUGGCACAGACAUCUAAGGGCAUGGCUGUCCAAGAAGAAAAUGUAGCCAUUGGUGCCAUCUAUCGACCACAGGAUAAAGAUUGGCGAUCCGUUGGAUACCGACCGAGUUAUAGGCAAAAUUUGGUGCAAAAAUGAGAAAAAUUUUCAUUUUUUUUUAAUUUUUUGAUUUUUUUAAAUUAUUUUUCACUCUUUUUUUUAUUUCAAGCAUUAUUAGAGUGAAAAGAAACUCAUUGCAACCCAUUGGCAUUAAAAUAAAACAAUUUAAUUUUUUUUGCAAAAUUUCCCAAAAAAAUCGUAAGGGGUAAGCCUUAUGAAAUUUUCGAGUGGAAAAUUUUUUUGAAAUUUUUUUCUGAUUUUUUAUUCUUUUUUUAAUUUAAAGCACUAUUUAAGUGAAAAGAAACUUAUUGCAACCAAUUCCCAUCAAAAUAUAUCACAUUUAAAAUUUUUGCUACAUUGCUCAAAAAUGAGGAAAAUUUUACAUUUUCUCAAACAGGGUAAGGAACUUGGUUCCUCGUAUAACUUCUGGCACAGACAUCUAAGGGCAUGGCUGUCCAAGAAGAAAAUGUAGCCAUUGACACCAUCUAUCGACCACAGGAUAAAGAUUGGCGAUCUGUUGGAUACCGACCGAGUUAUAGGCAAAACUUGGUGCAAAAAUGAGGAAAAUUCUACAUUUUCUCAAACAGGGUAAAGAACUUGGUUCUUCGUAUAACUUCUGACACAGACAUCUGAGGGCAUGGCUGUCCAAGAAGAAAAUGUAGCCAUUGACACCAUCUAUCGACCACAGGAUAAAGAUUGGCGAUCCGUUGGAUACCGACCGAGUUAUAGGCAAAACUUGGUGCAAAAAUGAGGAAAAUUUUACAUUUUCUCAAACAGGGUAAGGAACUUGGUUCUUCGUAUAACUUCUGACACAGACAUCUGAGGGCAUGGCUGUCCAAGAAGAAAAUGUAGCCAUUGACACCAUCUAUCGACCACAGGAUAAAGAUUGGCGAUCCGUUGGAUACCGACCGAGUUAUAGGCAAAACUUGGUGCAAAAAUGAGGAAAAUUUUACAUUUUCUCAAACAGGGUAUGGAACUUGGUUCCUCGAAUAACUUCUGGCACAGACAUCUGAGGGCAUGGCUGUCCAAGAAGAAAAUGUAGCCAUUGGUGCCAUCUAUCGACCACAGGUUAAAGAUUGGCGAUCCGUUGGAUACCGACCGAGUUAUAGGCAAAACUUGGUGCAAAAAUGAGGAAAAUUUUACAUUUUCUCAAACAGGGUAUGGAACUUGGUUCCUCGAAUAACUUCUGGCACAGACAUCUGAGGGCAUGGCUGUCCAAGAAGAAAAUGUAGCCAUUGAUACCAUCUAUCGACCACAGGUUAAAGUUUGGCGAUCCGUUGGAUACCGACCGAGUUAUAGGCAAAACUUGGUGCAAAAAUUGAGAAAAAAUUUCAUUUUUUUUUAAUUUUUUGAUUUUUUUUAUUAUUUUUCACUCUUUUUUUUAUUUCAAGCAUUAUUAGAGUGAAAAGAAACUCAUUGCAACCCAUUGGCAUUAAAAUAAAACAAUUUAAUUUUUUUUGCAAAAUUUCCCAAAAAAAUCGUAAGGGGUAAGCCUUAUGAAAUUUUCGAGUGGAAAAAUUUUUUGAAAUUUUUUUCUGAUUUUUUAUUCUUUUUUUAAUUUAAAGCACUAUUUAAGUGAAAAGAAACUUAUUGCAACAAAUUCCCAUCAAAAUAUAUCACAUUUAAAAUUUUUGCUACAUUGCUCAAAAAUGAGGAAAAUUUUACAUUUUCUCAAACAGGGUAAGGAACUUGGUUCCUCGAAUAACUUCUGGCACAGACAUCUGAGGGCAUGGCUGUCCAAGAAGAAAAUGUAGCCAUUGGUGCCAUCUAUCGACCACAGGUUAAAGUUUGGCGAUCCGUUGGAUACCGACCGAGUUAUAGGCAAAACUUGGUGCAAAAAUGAGGAAAAUUUUACAUUUUCUCAAACAGGGUAUGGAACUUGGUUCCUCGAAUAACUUCUGGCACAGACAUCUGAGGGCAUGGCUGUCCAAGAAGAAAAUGUAGCCAUUGACACCAUCUAUCGACCACAGGAUAAAGAUUGGCGAUCCGUUGGAUACCGACCGAGUUAUAGGCAAAACUUGGUGCAAAAAUGAGGAAAAUUUUACAUUUUCUCAAACAGGGUAAGGAACUUGGUUCUUCGUAUAACUUCUGACACAGACAUCUGAGGGCAUGGCUGUCCAAGAAGAAAAUGUAGCCAUUGACACCAUCUAUCGACCACAGGUUAAAGAUUGGCGAUCCGUUGGAUACCGACCGAGUUAUAGGCAAAAUUUGGUGCAAAAAUGAGAAAAAUUUUCAUUUUUUUUUAAUUUUUUGAUUUUUUUUAUUAUUUUUCACUCUUUUUUUUAUUUCAAGCAUUAUAUGAGUGAAAAGAAACUCAAUGCAACCCAUUGGCAUUAAAAUAAAACAAUUUAAUUUUUUUUGCAAAAUUUCCCAAAAAAAUCGUAAGGGGUAAGCCUUAUGAAAUUUUCGAAUGGAAAAUUUUUUUGAAAUUUUUUUCUGAUUUUUUAUUCUUUUUUUAAUUUAAAGCACUAUUUAAGUGAAAAGAAACUUAUUGCAACAAAUUCCCAUCAAAAAAUAUCACAUUUAAAAUUUUUGCUACAUUGCUCAAAAAUGAGGAAAAUUUUACAUUUUCUCAAACAGGGUAAGGAACUUGGUUCCUCGAAUAACUUCUGGCACAGACAUCUGAGGGCAUGGCUGUCCAAGAAGAAAAUGUAGCCAUUGGUGCCAUCUAUCGACCACAGGUUAAAGAUUGGCGAUCCGUUGGAUACCGACCGAGUUAUAGGCAAAAUUUGGUGCAAAAAUGAGGAAAAUUUUACAUUUUCUCAAACAGGGUAAGGAACUUGGUUCCUCGAAUAACUUCUGGCACAGACAUCUGAGGGCAUGGCUGUCCAAGAAGAAAAUGUAGCCAUUGGUGCCAUCUAUCGACCACAGGUUAAAGUUUGGCGAUCCGUUGGAUACCGACCGAGUUAUAGGCAAAACUUGGUGCAAAAAUGAAGAAAAUUUUACAUUUUCUCAAACAGGGUAUGGAACUUGGUUCCUCGAAUAACUUCUGGCACAGACAUCUGAGGGCAUGGCUGUCCAAGAAGAAAAUGUAGCCAUUGGUGCCAUCUAUCGACCACAGGUUAAAGAUUGGCGAUCCGUUGGAUACCGACCGAGUUAUAGGCAAAACUUGGUGCAAAAAUGAGAAAAAUUUUCAUUUUUUUUUAAUUUUUUGAUUGUUUUUAUUAUUUUUCACUCUUUUUUUUAUUUCAAGCAUUAUUAGAGUGAAAAGAAACUCAUUGCAACCCAUUGGCAUUAAAAUAAAACAAUUUAAUUUUUUUUGCAAAAUUUCCCAAAAAAAUCGUAAGGGGUAAGCCUUAUGAAAUUUUCGAGUGGAAAAAUUUUUUGAAAUUUUUUUCUGAUUUUUUAUUCUUUUUUUAAUUUAAAGCACUAUUUAAGUGAAAAGAAACUUAUUGCAACAAAUUCCCAUCAAAAUAUAUCACAUUUAAAAUUUUUGCUACAUUGCUCAAAAAUGAGGAAAAUUUUACAUUUUCUCAAACAGGGUAAGGAACUUGGUUCCUCGAAUAACUUCUGGCACAGACAUCUGAGGGCAUGGCUGUCCAAGAAGAAAAUGUAGCCAUUGGUGCCAUCUAUCGACCACAGGUUAAAGAUUGGUGAUCCGUUGGAUACCAACCGAGUUAUAGGCAAAAUUUGGUGCAAAAAUGAAGAAAAUUUUACAUUUUCUCAAACAGGGUAAGGAACUUGGUUCCUCGAAUAACUUCUGGCACAGACAUCUGAGGGCAUGGCUGUCCAAGAAGAAAAUGUAGCCAUUGGUGCCAUCUAUCGACCACAGGUUAAAGAUUGGCAAUCCGUUGGAUACCGUCCGAGUUAUAGGCAAAACUUGGUGCAAAAAUGAGGAAAAUUUUACAUUUUCUCAAACAGGGUAUGGAACUUGGUUCCUCGAAUAACUUCUGGCACAGACAUCUGAGGGCAUGGCUGUCCAAGAAGAAAAUGUAGCCAUUGGUGCCAUCUAUCGACCACAGGUUAAAGAUUGGCGAUCCGUUGGAUACUGACCGAGUUAUAGGCAAAACUUGGUGCAAAAAUGAGAAAAAUUUUCAUUUUUUUUUAAAUUUUUUGAUUUUUUUUAUUAUUUUUCACUCUUUUUUUUAUUUCAAGCAUUAUUAGAGUGAAAAGAAACUCAUUGCAACCCAUUGGCAUUAAAAUAAAACAAUUUAAUUUUUUUUGCAAAAUUUCCCAAAAAAAUCGUAAGGGGUAAGCCUUAUGAAAUUUUCGAGUGGAAAAAUUUUUUGAAAUUUUUUUCUGAUUUUUUAUUCUUUUUUUAAUUUAAAGCACUAUUUAAGUGAAAAGAAACUUAUUGCAACAAAUUCCCAUCAAAAUAUAUCACAUUUAAAAUUUUUGCUACAUUGCUCAAAAAUGAGGAAAAUUUUACAUUUUCUCAAACAGGGUAAGGAACUUGGUUCCUCGAAUAACUUCUGGCACAGACAUCUGAGGGCAUGGCUGUCCAAGAGGAAAAUGUAGCCAUUGGUGCCAUCUAUCGACCACAGGUUAAAGUUUGGAGAUUCGUUGGAUACCGACCGAGUUAUAGUCAAAACUUGGUGCAAAAAUGAGGAAAAUUUUACAUUUUCUCAAACAGGGUAAGGAACUUGGUUCCUCGAAUAACUUCUGGCACAGACAUCUGAGGGCAUGGCUGUCCAAGAAGAAAAUGUAGCCAUUGGUGCCAUCUAUCGACCACAGGAUAAAGUUUGGCGAUCCGUUGGAUACCGACCGAGUUAUAGGCAAAACUUGGUGCAAAAAUGAAGAAAAUUUUACAUUUUCUCAAACAGGGUAUGGAACUUGGUUCCUCGUAUAACUUCUGGCACAGACAUCUGAGGGCAUGGCUGUCCAAGAAGAAAAUGUAGCCAUUGGUGCCAUCUAUCGACCACAGGUUAAAGUUUGGCGAUCCGUUGGAUACCGACCGAGUUAUAGGCAAAAUUUGGUGCAAAAAUGAGAAAAAUUUUCAUUUUUUUUAAUUUUUUGAUUUUUUUUAUUAUUUUUCACUUUUUUU
This is a long non-coding RNA of Anopheles funestus (African malaria mosquito), 5288 nucleotides long. RefSeq lists it as uncharacterized. The record is from RefSeq and is a predicted model, not a curated record. NCBI's taxonomy places the organism in Eukaryota, Metazoa, Arthropoda, Insecta, Diptera, Culicidae. The transcript has 4 exons.